ACCUGCCCUAUGAAUAAAUAUUUUUAAAUGGCUGCGGUAAUUUGACCGUGCAAAGGUAGCAUAAUAAUUAGUUUUUUAAUUGGGAACUGGAAUGAAUGGUUGAACGAGAAAAAUACUGUCUCAAUUUAAUAUAAAUUAGAAUUUUAUUUUUAAGUAAAAAAGCUUAAAUAUUCUUAAAAGACGAGAAGACCCUAUAGAGUUUUAUAUUAAUUAUUAUAAUUAAAAAUUUAAGUAUUUAAAAUUUAAUUAUAAUAAUUAAUAUUUAAUUGGGGCGAUUAAAAAAUUUAAUUAACUUUUUUAAAAUUAAACCAUUAAUUUAUGAAUAAAUGAUCCAUAUUUUAUGAUUAAAAGAUU
Molecule: ribosomal RNA, 354 nt
Filed under: Arachnodes saprinoides
Lineage: Eukaryota; Metazoa; Arthropoda; Insecta; Coleoptera; Scarabaeidae
Description: partial 16S ribosomal RNA
Rfam family: Archaeal large subunit ribosomal RNA (bases 1-122)
Source: RNAcentral